AGUGAACGCUGGCGGUAUGCCUAACACAUGCAAGUCGAACGGCAGCACAGUAAGAGCUUGCUCUUACGGGUGGCGAGUGGCGGACGGGUGAGGAAUACAUCGGAAUCUACUUUUUCGUGGGGGAUAACGUAGGGAAACUUACGCUAAUACCGCAUACGACCUACGGGUGAAAGCAGGGGAUCUUCGGACCUUUCGCGAUUGAAUGAGCCGAUGUCGGAUUAGCUAGUUGGCGGGGUAAAGGCCCACCAAGGCGACGAUCCGUAGCUGGUCUGAGAGGAUGAUCAGCCACACUGGAACUGAGACACGGUCCAGACUCCUACGGGAGGCAGCAGUAGGGAAUAUUGGACAAUGGGCGCAAGCCUGAUCCAGCCAUACCGCGUGGGUGAAGAAGGCCUUCGGGUUGUAAAGCCCUUUUGUUGGGAAAGAAAAGCAGCAGGUUAAUCCGCCGAUGUUCUGACGGUACCCAAAGAAUAAGCACCGGCUAACUUCGUG
Molecule: ribosomal RNA, 492 nt
Filed under: uncultured bacterium
Lineage: Bacteria
Description: partial 16S ribosomal RNA
Rfam family: Bacterial small subunit ribosomal RNA
Source: RNAcentral